Molecule: ribosomal RNA, 228 nt
Filed under: uncultured prokaryote
Description: partial 16S ribosomal RNA
Rfam family: Bacterial small subunit ribosomal RNA
Source: RNAcentral
CUUAACACAUGCAAGUCGAGCGGAAAUAAGAAGAGCUUGCACAUCUUGAUUUUAGCGGCGGACGGGUGAGUAACGUGUGGGUAACCUGCCUUAUACUGUGGAAUAAUCAGUGAGAAAUGCGUGACUAAUACCGCAUGUCAUCCUUUUAUCGCAUGAUGAGAGGAGAAAAGGAUUUAUUCGGCGAGUAAGAUGGACCCGCAUCUGAUUAGCUAGUUGGUGAGAUAAUAG